CCUUGGAUCUGCGGUGGGUACGGGCAGACUAGAGUGAUGUAGGGGAGACUGGGAAUUCCUGGUGUAGCGGUGAAAUGCGCAGAUAUCAGGAGGAACACCGAUGGCGAAGGCAGGUCUCUGGGCAUUUACUGACGCUGAGGAGCGAAAGCAUGGGGAGCGAACAGGAUUAGAUACCCUGGUAGUCCAUGCCGUAAACGUUGGGCACUAGGUGUGGGGGACAUUCCACGUUUUCCGCGCCGUAGCUAACGCAUUAAGUGCCCCGCCUGGGGAGUACGGCCGCAAGGCUAAAACUCAAAGGAAUUGACGGGGGCCCGCACAAGCGGCGGAGCAUGCGGAUUAAUUCGAUGCAACGCGAAGAACCUUACCAAGGCUUGACAUGUGCCAGACCGCCUCAGAGAUGGGGUUUCCCUUCGGGGCUGGUUCACAGGUGGUGCAUGGUUGUCGUCAGCUCGUGUCGUGAGAUGUUGGGUUAAGUCCCGCAACGAGCGCAACCCUCGUUCCAUGUUGCCAGCACGUAAUGGUGGGGACUCAUGGGAGACUGCCGGGGUCAACUCGGAGGAAGGUGGGGAUGACGUCAAAUCAUCAUGCCCCUUAUGUCUUGGGCUUCACGCAUGCUACAAUGGCCGGUACAAUGGGUUGCGAUACUGUGAGGUGGAGCUAAUCCCUAAAAGCCGGUCUCAGUUCGGAUUGGGGUCUGCAACUCGACCCCAUGAAGUCGGAGUCGCUAGUAAUCGCAGAUCAGCAACGCUGCGGUGAAUACGUUCCCGGGCCUUGUACACACCGCCCGUCAAGUCACGAAAGUUGGUAACACCCGAAGCCGAUGGCCUAACCACCU
This 835-nucleotide ribosomal RNA is filed under the name Glutamicibacter bergerei. RNAcentral describes it as "bacterial SSU rRNA". It matches the Rfam family "Bacterial small subunit ribosomal RNA", at positions 613 to 1444 of the family's 1533-position model. Lineage: Bacteria; Bacillati; Actinomycetota; Actinomycetes; Micrococcales; Micrococcaceae. The record is from RNAcentral.